This 494-nucleotide ribosomal RNA is filed under the name uncultured bacterium. RNAcentral describes it as "partial 16S ribosomal RNA". It matches the Rfam family "Bacterial small subunit ribosomal RNA", at positions 28 to 507 of the family's 1533-position model. The record is from RNAcentral.
GACGAACGCUGGCGGCGUGCUUAACACAUGCAAGUCGAACGGAAAGGCCUGCUUUCCCUUGUGGAUUGCGGGUACUCGAGUGGCGAACGGGUGAGUAACACGUGAGUGAUCUGCCCCCAACUUGGGUAUAAGCCUGGGAAACUGGGUCUAAUUCCCGAUAGGACUGCAGGGUGGUGCCUGUGGUGGAAAACGAUUUUCUAGUGGUUGGGGAUGAGCUCGCGGCCUAUCAGCUUGUUGGUGGGGUAAUGGCCUACCAAGGCGGCGACGGGUAGCCGGCCUGAGAGGGUGGACGGCCACAUUGGGACUGAGAUACGGCCCAGACUCCUACGGGAGGCAGCAGUGGGGAAUAUUGCACAAUGGGCGGAAGCCUGAUGCAGCGACGCCGCGUGGGGGAUGACGGCCUUCGGGUUGUAAACUCCUUUCGACCGCGAGGAAGCCACCUGGUUGGAAGGGUGGUGACGGUAGUGGUAGAAGAAGCACCGGCUAACUGCGUG